GGCAGCUCCAUGCCCUGAGCUGCUCAAGGGCUGUCACUCGUUGUCCCUGUCAGGAUCACCUCCAGGUGUCUCAGCCCAGAGAGCAGCCCCAGCUCCUAACCCAUCUUUGCUUCAUUCCUGAGGGUUCUGCACGCCCGUCUAAGGGUCUGCUGCAGGGAAAGGGGUGCCCCAAAGUCUCUGACGGGUUGAGGUCCCUCUUAAGCAAUGGGAGGGUGCCUUUGGAGCCUCCCCAGCUCUCCAGUGUGUGCCGCUGGAAGCCCGCAGCACUGCAGGGGCAGCUCCAUGCCCUGAGCUGCUCAAGGGCUGUCACUCGUUGUCCCUGUCCCCCCUGCAGCGCUCAGCCCCUCGCUGCUGGCGGCUCUCGCCCUCACCCCGCUCCCUCCUUUAGGGCUGCCCGUGCCGGCGGUGACCCCAAGGCUGCCAUGUGGCCCCUGGCGCUGUCGGCCAGCGAGGUGCUGCUGGCGGCCGCCGCCUUCUGCCUGGUGUUCCUGCUGGUGCAGCGGCUGCGGCCGGCCGUGCCCGCGGGGCUGCGGCGGCCGCCGGGCCCGCGGGGCAUUCCCGUGCUGGGGAACGUGCUGGAGCUGCGCAGGGACACGCACCUGGCGCUGACGCGGCUGAGCCGGCGCUACGGGGACGUGAUGGAGGUGCGCAUCGGGACACGGCCCGUGCUGGUGCUCAGCGGGCUGGACACCAUCCGCCAAGCCCUGGUCAAGCAGGGAGACGACUUCAUGGGGCGUCCCGACCUGCCCAGCUUCCACUACAUCUCCAACGGGCAGAGCCUGGCGUUCAGCCCCGACUCCGGGGAGGUGUGGAAAGCGCGCAGGAAGCUGGCCCAGAGCGCCCUGAAGAGCUUCUCGGUGGCGCCCAGCCCCACCUCGUCCUGCAGCUGCCUGCUGGAGGAGCACGUCUCCAAGGAGGCCGAGUACCUGGUCACCAAGUUCCUGCAGCUGAUGGAGGAGCAGAAGGGGUUUGACCUCAACCAGUACCUGGUGGUGUCGGUGGCCAACGUCAUCUGUGCCAUGUGCUUCGGCAAGCGCUACGAGCACGAGGACCAGGAGCUGCUCAGCCUGGUGAACCUGGGCAACGAGUUUGGGGAGGUGGCCGGGAGUGGCCACCCCACCGACUUCAUCCCCCUGCUCCGCUACCUGCCCAGCCGCACCAUGGAGGCCUUCAAGGACAUCAACCGGCGCUUCAACGCCUUCGUGCAGAAAAUUGUGCAGGAGCAUUACAGCACCUUCGAUAAGGAGCACAUCCGGGACAUCACGGACUCGCUGAUCGGGCACUGCCAGGAGAACAGCGCCGGGGAGGACGCCCGGGUGCAGCUCUCCGACGAGAAGAUCAUCCACAUCGUCAACGACCUCUUUGGGGCAGGCUUUGACACUGUGGCUACAGCCCUGUCCUGGAGCCUCAUGUACGUUGCUUUGUACCCUGAUGUCCAGAAGAAGAUCCAGGAGGAGCUGGACCGCACCAUCGGGCGGGAGAGGCGGCCGCGGCUCUCGGACCGGGGCACGCUGCCCUACACGGAAGCCUUCAUCCUGGAGAUGUUCAGGCAUUCCUCCUUCCUGCCCUUCACCAUCCCACACAGCACAACAAAAGCAACAGUCUUGAAUGGCUACUACAUCCCCAAGGACACCUGUGUGUUCAUCAACCAGUGGCAAGUGAACCACGAUGAGGCGCUGUGGAAGGACCCCUCCUCCUUCAGGCCCGAGCGGUUCCUGAGCGCGGCGGGCGCGGAGCUGAGCCGUGCCGAGGGGGACAAGGUCCUGUCCUUCGGGCUGGGCCGGCGUCGCUGCCUGGGCGAGACCAUCGGCCGCUGGGAGAUCUUCCUCUUCCUCACCACGCUGCUGCAGCAGCUGCACUUCAGCCUGCGGCCCGGCGAGCCCGUGGACAUCACCCCCCAGUACGGACUGACCAUGAAGUACAAGAAGUGCGAGGCCUUCCAGAUCCGGCAGAGAUUCCCCGUCGGGAGCUCUCCGUGAGCUGGCAGGGUGGUUCCUCUUCCCAGCCCCAUCAGCCCUUCCCAUGUGGAUGAAGAUCCCCUGAGGUGUCUUGGAGAGGUCCAGCCCAUGGUGGGGAGGAGAAUGCUGGAGGUGGGACGUCCUCUGCCAGCCAUGAGCAGCUCCCUCCAUCCAGACAGAAAUAAACCUCUCUGUGGAUCCUGCCCAGCCUUAUCCCACUGAAAUCCUCUUUCCCAGCUCAUUAUCCCACUGGGAACAGAUCCUUUCCAAAGUUUCCAGAGCCUUCAGCAGAGCCCAUCUCGAGGGGACCCAUCCUGGGUGCACCCACGCACCUGAAUUCCUUGAACGUAAACUCAUGGAGUGAAUUCCUGAGUAGGAAUUAACUGAUUUAAGACAAAAAUAAUCCACCAGCAAAGCUGCUCACAAACUGAGGUUUUAAAUAAUCCCUACCAUGAAGCCUCCAGGAAAAUCUUGAAGGAAAAAGGGAACUGCAGGACACUCCUGGCUUUCAGACUAACUCUGCACUUGCUGCCUUUUUUAAUAUCAGGGAUUUUUUUUUUCUUUAUCAAGCAAUAGAUUUCUAUAUCCAGGUUGAGGGGCUUUCAGGACUGCAGGAGGUGCCUUUUGCUGCCUUCAGCUUCGGCCAGUGAAGCCUUGUGGCAAAGGGAGCAGCAAUUCCUGCCUGUUUGUGCCUGUUUGGGGUGCAGCUGUGUGGCCACACCAUAUUUCUAACCCAAUAAAUUCUUACAUGAACCUC
This is an RNA transcript of Serinus canaria (Common canary), 2715 nucleotides long. It is a transcript of the gene named cytochrome P450 1A4-like, with no coding region annotated. The transcript is spliced from 7 exons. The record is from RefSeq and is a predicted model, not a curated record. NCBI's taxonomy places the organism in Eukaryota, Metazoa, Chordata, Aves, Passeriformes, Fringillidae.